RNAcentral lists this transfer RNA (72 nucleotides) under Bos indicus (zebu cattle). It matches the Rfam family "tRNA". Rfam says of the family: Transfer RNA (tRNA) molecules are approximately 80 nucleotides in length. Their secondary structure includes four short double-helical elements and three loops (D, anti-codon, and T loops). Further hydrogen bonds mediate the characteristic L-shaped molecular structure. tRNAs have two regions of fundamental functional importance: the anti-codon, which is responsible for specific mRNA codon recognition, and the 3' end, to which the tRNAs corresponding amino acid is attached (by aminoacyl-tRNA synthetases). tRNAs cope with the degeneracy of the genetic code in two manners: having more than one tRNA (with a specific anti-codon) for a particular amino acid; and 'wobble' base-pairing, i.e. permitting non-standard base-pairing at the 3rd anti-codon position. The record is from Rfam by way of RNAcentral. Lineage: Eukaryota; Metazoa; Chordata; Mammalia; Artiodactyla; Bovidae. RNAcentral also lists the same sequence under 3 other names.
UCCCUAGUGGCUUAGACAGUAAAGAAUCUGCUUGCAAUGUAGGAGACCUGGGUUUGAUCCCUGGGUGGGGAA